Long non-coding RNA from Sapajus apella (tufted capuchin), 1030 nucleotides. RefSeq lists it as uncharacterized. Lineage: Eukaryota; Metazoa; Chordata; Mammalia; Primates; Cebidae. The record is from RefSeq and is a predicted model, not a curated record. The transcript is spliced from 2 exons.
CCUGUCCUCAUGUGAUCCACCUGCCUCGGCCUCCCAAAGUGCAGGGAUUACAGGCGUGAGCCACUGCGCCUGGCCUACAGUUGUAUAAAGUCAGGACAAAACAAAGUCCACUAUCCAAAGAUCUUAUUCUGUAAACCUUCUAAGAUUCUCUAGUCAUGAGAUAGUGGGCAGUUCCAUCGGUUUCAGUUGGUCCUAAAAUUUUCUUUAGAUAGCCUUUGGUAAUGAGAUUUAAUGAUCAAAUGGUGAACUUCAGUAUGUACGUGCUAGUCUUCCUACUCAGAUAUGCCAAAGUAUUAGCCCUCUAAUAUAGAAUCUUUCUUAUGAAUGGCUGGAGAAUUCACUAAGUUAGAUAGAUACACUAAGAGGAAAAUAACCUUUAAAUACAAAUAAUUGUAUUUUCCCUUAACCCCAGGCUAUUCUGCAUCUAAAUUUGUUUCAAUCUGUUCUAAGAUAUUACUAUAGAUGACAAUACUGUAGUCUUUAUUGAUCUUUUGUACCCGCAGUACAGGGGGACAUUUACUCUCCUCUUUUCUCUUUUCUCAGUUGUUAUCUUUUUCUAAAUCCAGUCUCUUUCUUAUAGUUAUACAAGUUGUUUGUUUUAUAAUUAUUUUCUUAAAACUCUACAUGUAUGUUUUUAUACUUUUAUUAUUGCAUAUUCUUAAUAAAAAAAGUUAAAAACUUGGAAAGUUUUACAUGUUUUGAGAUGUACAGUAGCAAAGGGUGACAUUCAAAAAUGUAGUUUCUUUAUCCUGAUCUUCAACAUUUCUUUGUACUCCUCAUUUAUAGUUUUGUCGACAAUCUGAUGUCACUGUCACUGAAACAGAAGUUACAUGGUCAGGAGGAAACAAGACCAUAAGGAAAACUUUAUUCCAGUUGCUUUAAUAUUGACUAAAAUGUUUGCACACCUGUUAAGAUUUAUUACCAAAAUAACCUAUAAAUUACGCCUACAUAAAUAUGUGUUCUGAAGUAAGUUAUAGUUUAACCUUAAUUAGAUAGAUAAACUAUAAAAAAAAAAAGUGUACUAGUUUUU